Molecule: ribosomal RNA, 354 nt
Filed under: uncultured bacterium
Lineage: Bacteria
Description: partial 16S ribosomal RNA
Rfam family: Bacterial small subunit ribosomal RNA
Source: RNAcentral
CCUACGGGUGGCUGCAGUAGGGAAUAUUGCUCAAUGGGGGAAACCCUGAAGCAGCAACGCCGCGUGGAGGAUGAAGGUUUUCGGAUUGUAAACUUCUGUUGUUAGAGAAGAUAAUGUCCUUAUCUAUCUAAUAACCACCUGCUAACUACGUGCCAGCAGCCGCGGUAAUACGGAGGGUGCAAGCGUUAAUCGGAAUCACUGGGCGUAAAGAGCGCGUAGGCGGGUUAGCAAGUCAGAUGUGAAAUCCUAUGGCUUAACCAUAGAACUGCAUUUGAAACUGGUAUGCUAGAGGAUGGGAGAGGUAGGUGGAAUGCUGGGUGUAGGGGUAAAAUGCGUAGAGAUGAAGAGGAAUAC